GGGGAUAUAGCUCAGCUGGGAGAGCGCUUGAAUGGCAUUCAAGAGGUCACGGGUUCGACCCCCGUUAUCUCCACCA
RNAcentral lists this transfer RNA (76 nucleotides) under Oscillospiraceae bacterium. Its description in RNAcentral is "tRNA-Ala". It matches the Rfam family "tRNA". Rfam says of the family: Transfer RNA (tRNA) molecules are approximately 80 nucleotides in length. Their secondary structure includes four short double-helical elements and three loops (D, anti-codon, and T loops). The record is from RNAcentral. Lineage: Bacteria; Bacillati; Bacillota; Clostridia; Eubacteriales; Oscillospiraceae.